CCCCCGUCAGGCUGCCGCAGCUGGCGGCGGCGGUGGGGCUGGUGUCGGAGAUCAGCCAGCAGCUGGGGCAGCGCCGGCGCGAGGCCGAGGCCGAGAUCGGCAGCACCUUCGAGGAGCUGGAGGCCGCGCUGCGCCAGCGCCGGGGGCUCCUCGUCAGGGACCUGGAGGCCACCUGCGGCGCCAAGCAGAAGGUAACGCUGUGGGCACCACGGGCACCACGGGCAUGAGACACCGUGGCCAAUGGGACACCAUGACCCACGGGGCACCAUGACCCAUGAGAUACCACGGCCAUGGGGCACCAUGUCCACAUGCCACCAUGGCUACAGGGCACCAUGGCCACAAGACAGCAUGGCCACGGGGCACCAUGACCCACAGGGCACCAUGGGCACAGGGCACCAUGGCCACCAGCCACCAUGGCCACAUGCCACCACAGCCAUGGGACACCACAGGCACGAGACACCAUGGCCACAGGGCACUAUGACCCAUGAGACACCAUGGCCAUGGGGCACUGUGGCCACAAGACACCAUGGCCAAUGGGACACCACGGCCACGGGGCACCAUGGCCACAGGACACCAUGUCCAUGGGCCACGGUGUCCCCAUGCUGCCAUGCCUCACACCACCAUGGCCCUGUGCCACCAUGUCCCUUGGCCACCAUAUCUGUGUGCCUCCAUGUCCCCCUGCUGUCACUGUGGCCACGGGACACCACGUCCCCCUGUCCCCGUGCUGCCAUCUCCCCAGGCUUCAUGCCUGUCCCCGUGUCCCCGUGUCCCCGUGUCCCCGUGUCCCCAAGCCGCCAUCGCUCCCCUGAGCCCCCGCCCAGGGGAGGUGGCCGUGCCGAUGGCUCCCUGGGCUGUGGUGGGGGGGCUCUGGGACCCCCCACCCCGGGAGUGACAGUGCGGGGUCCAGCUGGGGGUGGGGGUGCUGAGGGUCCCAUCAUGGUGCUGAGGGUCCUGCAGGGUGGCGGGGGUCCCGUUGUGGUGCUGAGGGUCCCAUGAGGUGUUGGGGGUCCCGUCCUGGUGUUGGGGGUCCCGUUGCAGUGCUGGGAGUCCCAUGCAGUGUUGGGGGUCCCAUCGUGGUGCCAGGGUUCCUGUUGUGGUGCUGGGGGUCCUGUCCCGGUGCUGGGAGUCCCGUUGCAGUGCUGGGGGUCCCACAUGGUGCUGAUGGUCCUGGUGCAGUGUUUAGGGUCCUGUUGUGGUGCCAGGGGUCCCGCAUGGCACUGAUGGUCCUGGUGCAGUGUUAAGGGUCCUGUCCCGGUGCUGGGGGUCCCGUUGUGGUGUCGGGGGUCCUGCAUGGCACUGGUGGUCCUGGUGCAGUGUUUAGGGUUCC
RNAcentral lists this long non-coding RNA (1327 nucleotides) under Calidris pugnax (ruff). RNAcentral describes it as "lncRNA (ENSCPUG00000002231.1)". The record is from RNAcentral. Lineage: Eukaryota; Metazoa; Chordata; Aves; Charadriiformes; Scolopacidae.